This 73-nucleotide transfer RNA is filed under the name Bos taurus (domestic cattle). It matches the Rfam family "tRNA". From Rfam's summary of the family: Transfer RNA (tRNA) molecules are approximately 80 nucleotides in length. Their secondary structure includes four short double-helical elements and three loops (D, anti-codon, and T loops). Further hydrogen bonds mediate the characteristic L-shaped molecular structure. tRNAs have two regions of fundamental functional importance: the anti-codon, which is responsible for specific mRNA codon recognition, and the 3' end, to which the tRNAs corresponding amino acid is attached (by aminoacyl-tRNA synthetases). tRNAs cope with the degeneracy of the genetic code in two manners: having more than one tRNA (with a specific anti-codon) for a particular amino acid; and 'wobble' base-pairing, i.e. permitting non-standard base-pairing at the 3rd anti-codon position. The record is from Rfam by way of RNAcentral. RNAcentral also lists the same sequence under 1 other name. Lineage: Eukaryota; Metazoa; Chordata; Mammalia; Artiodactyla; Bovidae.
UCCCUGGUGGUCCAGUGGCUAAGACUCUGAGCUGCCAAUGUGGAGGGUUCAGGUUCGAUCCCUGGUCAGGGAA